CGCGAAGAACCUUACCAGGUCUUGACAUCCUCUGACAAUCCUGGGGACAGGACGUUCCCCUUCGGGGGACAGAGUGACAGGUGGUGCAUGGUUGUCGUCAGCUCGUGUCGUGAGAUGUUGGGUUAAGUCCCGCAACGAGCGCAACCCUUGAUCUUAGUUGCCAGCAUUCAGUUGGGCACUCUAAGGUGACUGCCGGUGACAAACCGGAGGAAGGUGGGGAUGACGUCAAAUCAUCAUGCCCCUUAUGACCUGGGCUACACACGUGCUACAAUGGACGGUACAAAGGGCAGCAACACCGCGAGGUGAAGCGAAUCCCAUAAAGCCGUUCUCAGUUCGGAUUGCAGGCUGCAACUCGCCUGCAUGAAGCCGGAAUUGCUAGUAAUCGCGGAUCAGCAUGCCGCGGUGAAUACGUUCCCGGGUCUUGUACACACC
RNAcentral lists this ribosomal RNA (432 nucleotides) under uncultured bacterium. RNAcentral's name for it is "bacterial SSU rRNA". It matches the Rfam family "Bacterial small subunit ribosomal RNA", at positions 960 to 1391 of the family's 1533-position model. The record is from RNAcentral.